GGAUGAAUAGCUCCAAGGGUAGAGCAUCACGUUGAAGCCGUGACCGUGCAAGUUCGAAUCUUGCUUCAUCCG
This 72-nucleotide transfer RNA is filed under the name Flavisolibacter longurius. RNAcentral describes it as "Flavisolibacter sp. BT320 tRNA-Phe". It matches the Rfam family "tRNA". From Rfam's summary of the family: Transfer RNA (tRNA) molecules are approximately 80 nucleotides in length. Their secondary structure includes four short double-helical elements and three loops (D, anti-codon, and T loops). Lineage: Bacteria; Pseudomonadati; Bacteroidota; Chitinophagia; Chitinophagales; Chitinophagaceae. The record is from RNAcentral.